RNAcentral lists this ribosomal RNA (376 nucleotides) under uncultured bacterium. RNAcentral describes it as "partial 16S ribosomal RNA". It matches the Rfam family "Bacterial small subunit ribosomal RNA", at positions 338 to 729 of the family's 1533-position model. The record is from RNAcentral.
CCUACGGGUGGCAGCCGUGGGGGAUAUUGCACCAUGGGGGAAACCCUGAUGCAGCGACGCCGCGUGGGGGAAGAAGUAUUUCGGUAUGGAAAGCCCUAUCAGCAGGGAAGCAGAAAUGACGGUAACUGCGUGAGAAGCACCGGCUAAACACGUGCCAGCCGCCGAGGGAAUACGUAUGGUGCAAGCGUUAUCCGGAUUUACUGGGUGAAAAGGGAGCGCAGGGGGGACGGUAAGCGUGAUGUGAAAGCCCGGGGCCCAACCGAGGGACUGCAUUGGGAACUGCCGGGCUGGAGUGCCGGAGAGGUAGGCGGAAUUCCUAGUGUAGCGGUGAAAUGCGUAGAUAUCACACAGAACACCGAUUGCGAAGGCAUCUCAC